GAUGAAGAACGUAGCGAAAUGCGAUAAGUAGUGUGAAUUGCAGAAUUCAGUGAGUCAUCGAAUCUUUGAACGCACAUUGCGCCCUCUGGUAUUCCGGAGGGCAUGCCUGUUCGAGCGUCAUUAUCACCCCUCAAGCCCGGCUUGUUGUUGGAUGCAGCGCUUAUCCCGCUCCUCCCAAAGAUAAUGACGGCGUCUGCGACGACUCCUGUACACUGAGCUUUCGGGCACGUACACGGCUAGAAGUCCAGACCCGGUCGCCGUCCCCCCCGCGGGGACACCCAUUACCACAAGGUUGACCUCGGAUCAGGUAGGAAUACCCGCUGAACUUAAGCAUAUCAAUAAGCGGAGGA
Molecule: unclassified non-coding RNA, 350 nt
Filed under: soil metagenome
Description: partial contains 5.8S ribosomal RNA, internal transcribed spacer 2, and large subunit ribosomal RNA
Rfam family: 5.8S ribosomal RNA (bases 1-120)
Source: RNAcentral